Molecule: long non-coding RNA, 484 nt
Organism: Herpailurus yagouaroundi (jaguarundi)
Lineage: Eukaryota; Metazoa; Chordata; Mammalia; Carnivora; Felidae
Exons: 2
Source: RefSeq, a predicted model, not a curated record
ACCAACUGUGAGAUCAUGACCUGAGCCAUUAUCAAGAGUCAAACGUUUAACCGACUAAGACACCCAGGUGCCCAAGAAAAAGAAAAAUUUUAAAGUAAGAAGAGGAGAAGCAUAGGUUUCUCAGAACUUCUAUAGGCAGCAAACAUCAAAAGGACCGAAGAUUUUUAUACUGAUUCAGCCACCCACAGCAAUGAAGUAAACCCUGAUUUUCUUUUAGUCUAGGAAAUGAUCAGCAAAGAGGCUUCAUAAACAGCCUCUUUAACACUUGAAGCUUAAAAAACCAGGAAAAAAAUCAGUGUAGCAGAAUGGUUACUGUCAUAAACACCUUUGAAGGUUUUUCUUUUUCUUUUUUUUUUUUUUUAAGUAACCCUUCUAAUCCCUCCUCUACCAACAUUAUAGAAUAUUUUCUUUACCACAACUUUUCGGUUAGGCAUUUUAAAUUAUGCCUUUUAAAAAAACAAAAGAUAAAGUAUAUUACAUUUUG